Molecule: transfer RNA, 72 nt
Filed under: Fasciola hepatica (liver fluke)
Lineage: Eukaryota; Metazoa; Platyhelminthes; Trematoda; Plagiorchiida; Fasciolidae
Rfam family: tRNA
About the family: Transfer RNA (tRNA) molecules are approximately 80 nucleotides in length. Their secondary structure includes four short double-helical elements and three loops (D, anti-codon, and T loops).
Source: Rfam by way of RNAcentral
GCUCGAUAGCUCAGCUGGUAGAGCAUCUGCCAGGUGAGCGGAGGGUUGCUGGUUCGAUUCCUGCUCGCGGCA